GCGGGAGACGGCGCGCCUCCAUUCAUCGCUCGCCAGAGUUGCCCACCCCCUCUCGUCUGCUCCUUGCCCUUGCCAUUCGAGGGCGAUCGGUGCUCCCUCCGCCUCCGGACCGCCGCCGCCGCCGCCGGAGCCCUCUCCGGGGCGUCCCUGAGAUUGUGUGCGCCAAUGGCGCCUCACCACAUUAAUGGCUUUGCUGACGUUCGUGCAGUUGCGGAAAUGUCACCUACACUUCCUACCAUGAUUAUUAGAGUACCUUGUGAGCAGUCAGCCAAUAUUCACAGGCUACUGGAAUUUGUUGAGGAUCGUCUGGAUCACGCCAUCGCCCAGGGAAACCUUACAAGUGCUGAUGCUCCCCAGUUUUGUUUGUCAUUGCUCAACGAGUCCCAGAUCUACCUGCGGCUUCAACUGUUCUCGUCGAAGUGGAUGAUUGGGUGCGGCCACCCAUCGACUCACGGGUAG
This 459-nucleotide long non-coding RNA is filed under the name Oryza sativa Indica Group (long-grained rice). RNAcentral describes it as "lncRNA OsMH63_11G016640". Lineage: Eukaryota; Viridiplantae; Streptophyta; Magnoliopsida; Poales; Poaceae. The record is from RNAcentral.